UACGUAGGGUGCGAGCGUUGUCCGGAAUUAUUGGGCGUAAAGAGCUCGUAGGCGGUCUGUCGCGUCGAUCGUGAAAACUUGGGGCUUAACCCUGAGCUUGCGGUCGAUACGGGCAUGACUGGAGUUCGGCAGGGGAGACUGGAAUUCCUGGUGUAGCGGUGAAAUGCGCAGAUAUCAGGAGGAACACCGGUGGCGAAGGCGGCCCACUGGUCCGGUACUGACGCUGAGGUGCGAAAGCGUGGGGAGCAAGCAGG
RNAcentral lists this ribosomal RNA (254 nucleotides) under uncultured bacterium. RNAcentral describes it as "partial 16S ribosomal RNA". It matches the Rfam family "Bacterial small subunit ribosomal RNA", at positions 524 to 776 of the family's 1533-position model. The record is from RNAcentral.